This 778-nucleotide ribosomal RNA is filed under the name uncultured Neocallimastigales. Its description in RNAcentral is "partial large subunit ribosomal RNA". It matches the Rfam family "Eukaryotic large subunit ribosomal RNA", at positions 26 to 628 of the family's 3401-position model. The record is from RNAcentral. Lineage: Eukaryota; Fungi; Neocallimastigomycota; Neocallimastigomycetes; Neocallimastigales.
CGUCUAUAUACGUAUAGCAUAUCAAUAAGCGGAGGAAAAGAAACUAACUAGGAUUCCCUCAGUAACGGCGAGUGAAGCGGGAAGAGCUCAAAUUUGAAAUCUUCAAGGUUCUACCUUGACGAAUUGUAGUUUAAAGAAGUGUUUUCUGUUGGAGUUUUGGUAAAAGUUCUUUGGAAUAGGACAUCAUAGAGGGUGAGAAUCCCGUAUUUGACCAUUAUUUCCAACUUUGUGAUAGCACUUUCAAAGAGUCGGAUUGUUUGGGAAUGCAGUCCAAAAUGGGUGGUAAAUUUCAUCUAAAGCUAAAUAUUGGCGAGAGACCGAUAGCGAACAAGUACCGUGAGGGAAAGAUGAAAAGAACUUUGAAAAGAGAGUUAAACAGUACGUGAAAUUGUCAAAAGGGAAGCGUUUGACACCAGUGUUGUUUUCUCGAAAAUCAAUUAAAAAUGGCAGGAUUUUGUGUUGUAUUGACUUUAUCAGCUUUCUGCACUUUUUUCCUUGUCUUUUUUAAUGCACUUUUCGUUUAACAAGUCAACAUCAAUUUCUUUUGUUGUAAAAGAGGUCAUUGGAAGGUGGCUUUCCUUUCGGAGAAAGUGUUUAUAGCCUUUGACUUCUGCAAUCGGAGAGAUUGAGGUCUGCAGCGUAGAUCCUUCGGGGUUAGAUACAUUUGUGCUAAGCUUAUAGCCUUUCAUAGACAACUUGUUGACUAUGAUCAGUCAUGUAGCUUACUCGCUUAUGCUAUUUUACCUACGCUUAGGAUGUUGACGAUCAGCUGAGCGCG